RNAcentral lists this long non-coding RNA (212 nucleotides) under Solanum tuberosum (potato). RNAcentral describes it as "long non-coding RNA (STUB_LNC004720)". Lineage: Eukaryota; Viridiplantae; Streptophyta; Magnoliopsida; Solanales; Solanaceae. The record is from RNAcentral.
GUCAUUUAAUCUUAUGAUAUUUUACAUUUCAUGUGAAAAAAAAUUAAAUAUUAAUUUUUUAAUAUGAAAAAUAUUAAUUUAUUAAUACAACAUAAAAGUAAUAAAGGACAAUAUAUAAAAAUAUUUGAAGUAUUUGAUAUUUUAUUAAAUUAAAAUAAUUUUAAAUUAAUAUAUAGCCGCGCAACGCGCGGGUACGUAUACUAGUGAAGAAC